CUACGUGCCAGCAGCCGCGGUAAUACGGAGGAUGCGAGCGUUAUCCGGAUUUAUUGGGUUUAAAGGGUGCGUAGGCGGCCUGUUAAGUCAGCGGUGAAAUCUAGGAGCUUAACUCCUAAAUUGCCAUUGAUACUGGCGGGCUUGAGUGUAGAUGAGGUAGGCGGAAUGCGUGGUGUAGCGGUGGAAUGCAUAGAUAUCACGCAGAACUCCGAUUGCGAAGGCAGCUUACUAAGGUACAACUGACGCUGAAGCACGAAAGCGUGGGUAUCAAACAGGAUUAGAUACCCUGGUAGUCCACGCAGUAAACGAUGAUAACUGGGCGUAUGCGAUAUACAGUAUGCUCCUAAGCGAAAGCGUUAAGUUAUCCACCUGGGGAGUACGCCGGCAACGGUGAAACUCAAAGGAAUUGACGGGGGCCCGCACAAGCGGAGGAACAUGUGGUUUAAUUCGAUGAUACGCGAGGAACCUUACCCGGGAU
This 478-nucleotide ribosomal RNA is filed under the name uncultured bacterium. RNAcentral describes it as "bacterial SSU rRNA". It matches the Rfam family "Bacterial small subunit ribosomal RNA", at positions 501 to 981 of the family's 1533-position model. The record is from RNAcentral.